UACGUAGGGGGCAAGCGUUGUCCGGAUUUAUUGGGCGUAAAGAGCGUGUAGGCGGCUGGGUAGGUCCGUUGUGAAAACUCGAGGCUCAACCUCGAGACGCCGAUGGAAACCCUCCAGCUAGAGUCCGGAAGAGGAGAGUGGAAUUCCUGGUGUAGCGGUGGAAUGCGCAGAUAUCAGGAGGAACACCAACGGCGAAGGCAGCUCGCUGGGACGGUACUGACGCUGAGGCGCGAAAGCGUGGGGAGCGAACAGG
Molecule: ribosomal RNA, 253 nt
Filed under: uncultured bacterium
Lineage: Bacteria
Description: partial 16S ribosomal RNA
Rfam family: Bacterial small subunit ribosomal RNA
Source: RNAcentral